AUCUGGGCGGCGGAAUUCAGGAUGACGGGCGCGUUUCGCGCGUGUCCGUCGUUUGAUAUUUCCGUCGCCGACUCAACCCGCAGACGUCGCGACCUGUUCGCGGUCGGUCCCUGCUCGGAGGAGUCACGUUCGAGUUUGUUGCGUGCGCGUUUAUGCGCGUUACGCGGCAAAGGCGUGAAUCUCUGGCUGGCCGUCGGACAGUACGCUCAACGGUGUCCGAUGUCGUCGUCUCGUACGCGCGCGCAUCGGUACCGGUCGGCGACGAAUUCUUCGGGCCUCUUUCCGACCCGUCUUGAAACACGGACCAAGGAGUCUAACAUGCGCGCGAGUCGCGGGGUGUCGAGCGUACUUCGGUGCGUUCGUUACGUUGCGAAACCCGUACAUGUCGAAGGCGUAAUGAAAGUAAAUGGGGAAGAUGGUGUUCCGAGUACACGUUCCGCGGUCAUUGGUACCGCGGCCGGACACCCGCAUUCCCGGGGCGUCUCAACGGCCCGUCGCGGAUGCGGGCAGUCGUCUCUCGGGGCGGCUGUCGGUCCGCGACGAACCGA
This 548-nucleotide ribosomal RNA is filed under the name Parlatoria fluggeae. RNAcentral's name for it is "eukaryotic LSU rRNA". The record is from RNAcentral. Lineage: Eukaryota; Metazoa; Arthropoda; Insecta; Hemiptera; Diaspididae.